Molecule: ribosomal RNA, 427 nt
Filed under: uncultured bacterium
Lineage: Bacteria
Description: partial 16S ribosomal RNA
Rfam family: Bacterial small subunit ribosomal RNA
Source: RNAcentral
UGGGGAAUAUUGGACAAUGGGCGAAAGCCUGAUCCAGCCAUGCCGCGUGUGUGAAGAAGGUCUUCGGAUUGUAAAGCACUUUAAGUUGGGAGGAAGGGCAUUAACCUAAUACGUUAGUGUUUUGACGUUACCGACAGAAUAAGCACCGGCUAACUCUGUGCCAGCAGCCGCGGUAAUACAGAGGGUGCAAGCGUUAAUCGGAAUUACUGGGCGUAAAGCGCGCGUAGGGGGUUUGUUAAGUUGGAUGUGAAAUUCCCGGGCUCAACCUGGGAACUGCAUUCAAAACUGACUGACUCGAGUAUGGUAGAGGGUGGUGGAAUUUCCUGUGUAGCGGUGAAAUGCGUAUAUAUAGGACGGAACACCAGUGGCGAAGGCGACCACCUUAACUAAUACUGACACUGAGGUGCGAAAGCGUGGGGAGCAAACA